Molecule: RNA transcript, 1299 nt
Organism: Schistocerca americana (American grasshopper)
Lineage: Eukaryota; Metazoa; Arthropoda; Insecta; Orthoptera; Acrididae
Exons: 2
Source: RefSeq, a predicted model, not a curated record
AUACAGGACAUUGCAUGAUAUAUGAAAAGAUGGAAGUUUUAUCACUGGCACCCUCUCUCUGGGACUGUGUCAUUAUGGAAGUAAUACAUAUCCGUACAGCUGAUAAUCUCAUCAACAGGGAAGUGGUAUUUCAACUGAGUAGAGCCUGGAACCCUGCAUUGACUGCUAUUAAAUCACAGCACAAAAAUCAAGAUUCUUCAAUAACAGACUCGUCAUAACAUUGGUCUAGUACGGUCUUUGGUGAGAAACGACUGGUCACACUGUUAGCAAAUGCUGCAUACAGUGCACGCACAGGAGAGCCGCUCUGCGAUUUUUGGCAGAGGGCAUUUGAACGUGGCACCAUCUAACUGCAAAUAAUUGCACAUGCACGACUUCUGUGACUGCGCAUACUUUGCAUGCGUGUUCUAGAAAUGGGGUGUCGAUGUGCGGAUACUGUCAGUCGUACCUAGCCACCGGCAAGGUUAAAUCACCUGAAGAUGUCGGACAGUUGCUCCGAGGAAAUUUUGGGGAAUUUGCACGUGAUCCGUCAGCAAACCUGUGAAGACUAUUUGCAACAUAUUUAUAUAUAUUUCUACAUCCAAAAUUAUAAUGGCCUGCAGACGAGAUAGAUACCUCACUAACCAAGAAAUAGAAGAAAUAAUAAACAGUGACGCAUUCUAUAAAGUGGUGUCAGAUGAUCAGGACCAUACUGAUGUCACCGUAUGUCCUCCUGAAGUAGACUAUAUGACCAGCAAAGAAGAAGGUCCAGACGAUGUUACUGGAACUGGGGAAGUCUCAGAUGUGCCAGGGGCUAUUGAAUAACAUUAACAUUAUGUUGCAUCAGGGAAUAACGAAGAAACUGUAUGUAAAACUUCACUGCCAAGUACAUCCCAAGUUUCCAGAAGUAAAUCGAAGAAUGGCCCUCUUAAUGUCUGGCUCUUCUACAUGGGAAAAAGGCACUGGAUUUACUGGAUUUAAGACGUGCUGUUACAGUUACAUACCUGAAAUUGGACACUGGAAGACCAAAUAUUGGAUGUCCAAUGGAAUACCCAUCAAGUCAGUUGAGAGUGAUAUCAGACAUCAGGUUUGAUGGAAUUAGUCAUAUGAUUGACAUAAGAAACAUGCAAAGAAGAUGUGCAAGAGCUAAAUGCAAUGGGAAACCAAAAACAUAUUGUAUUACAUGCCGUAUAACACUUUGUGUGAAGUGUUGUGUAAUAUAAAUAGUUAAGACUUGAAUACAGUUUAGUAUGCUAUAUGAUACUGUUAGAUCCCAGUCUCCUAUUUUGAGGACAGCCAUUAUAUCAGCAUGUAUAAAUAUUC